AGGGAAAAGUUCGAAGGCAAGUACUAGUGAGUUCCAUGGGAGGGACUUAAUCAUGCAGAGGUAUGAUCGAAGCAGCUGGAGAGUUGGACUGCUUCAGAGCUCAUAUUCGCUUAAGGGAGCCCGGCAGGUCAGAGGACAAGGCCGAGUAAGCGAACGUUGCUACCAAGGAAGCUAAGGAGAACAGAAUCGGUGCAAACCCUACAAUGUGAUGGCAGAGGCCAUGCAUGGGAGUUGCCGUCUGUCUUUCCAUCGACCAAAUAGACUGCUUGGAGAACACAAAGGUGUUG
Molecule: long non-coding RNA, 287 nt
Filed under: Musa acuminata (dwarf banana)
Lineage: Eukaryota; Viridiplantae; Streptophyta; Magnoliopsida; Zingiberales; Musaceae
Description: long non-coding RNA (MACU_LNC011627)
Source: RNAcentral